Molecule: long non-coding RNA, 283 nt
Organism: Clupea harengus (Atlantic herring)
Lineage: Eukaryota; Metazoa; Chordata; Actinopteri; Clupeiformes; Clupeidae
Exons: 3
Source: RefSeq, a predicted model, not a curated record
CGAACUACGAAGGUAUGUCAAAGCGGUUUUCCUUGAUUCUGAUUCACUGCGGGUUAGCAUGCUAAGAAAUGUUUGUUUCAAUAGUGUGUAUGGGGAAGCAGACGCUGAUUGAACCGCAGUGUACCAGUGUUUUGCGUGAUCAUUUCCAUGGACAAGCACCCGCUGGGUAUUGUGGCUGUCGUGGGGUACCUGCGAUAAACGUAGCGUUCCUUGCAUCCGGUAACGUGAGCGGCAGACUGUUUAACUGCAACCAGCAUUUGGAGUGUUGCUGUUGCUGUUCUCU